This 200-nucleotide unclassified non-coding RNA is filed under the name soil metagenome. Its description in RNAcentral is "partial contains internal transcribed spacer 2 and large subunit ribosomal RNA". The record is from RNAcentral.
UUUCAACCCUCGAGCCCGUCUCGGUGUGGCCCCACGGCCGCGAGCCGCCCCCGAAAUGCAUUGGCGACCCCGCCGCGGCCUCCCCUGCGCAGUAGCUCCCAGAGAACCUCGCACCGGAAACGCGGAGGCGGUCACGCCGUAAAACAACUCUCCUCAUGGAAGUUGACCUCGGAUCAGGUAGGGAUACCCGCUGAACUUAA